GUCUCUCUCUUUCUCUCUAUCUUCCUCUCUUCUCUCUCUCUCUCUUGCUCACGUUUUCUCUAUCUCCGCCAUUCUCUCUAGCGGAGUCUUGGCUGGAAUCACCUAAAUUAAUCGGAAUUAUCAAGUUUCCAAGUGAGGGUUUGGUGUAACCAAGUUUAGGUCUGACACCCUUAGAGAUUUAAUUCCGUUGAUUGGGAGGUGCCGUUGGAAAUCUCGAGACGCAGCUUCCUUGUGGUGAUGGAUUUCACCGACGAUGACGCGCGGUGGUGGCUGGAAUCGGGCGAAGAAGACGAGCAGUCCAGAACCCGAAUUUCAGCGGUUGGUCGUUCAAAGAAUUAAUUGAACGGAGGUCUUAAGGGUAGAAUCUCGACGAUCAGGUCCCAUCAUUAGAAACCUCACGAUGUUACCUUUCUGUUGGUGGCGAAGCUCGAUGGCUUGCACCGACGUUGGUCGCCGGAGUUUGGUGAGAAGUCAGCCUGCUCGCUGCGAUUUUGGGGAAGCAAAACCUGCUGCCGCACCUGUUUUCGGAGCCGAAAUCGAAGGGUUUCGAAUGCGAAUUUGGAAUCGGUUCCUUCAGGAAACUCGUAGAGGACAUCGUAAACUAUAAGUGUUGAGCGUAGUAAAGCUCUGACUCAAGGUUUAAGCUUAAAGAUGCUUCUAUAGCACUUCUAUAGCACUAGCGUUGGACUCCAGGUGAGAAACUAUGACUCCUUAUCCGAUUUCUUUCCUGCGCUUAAUAUCUCCUUUGUUUGAACCGAAUAUUUUGUAUAUAUUGAAGCCUUCGAUACCUUGAUUAUAUUUGUUCUUGAAA
Non-coding RNA from Erythranthe guttata (spotted monkey flower), 811 nucleotides. Lineage: Eukaryota; Viridiplantae; Streptophyta; Magnoliopsida; Lamiales; Phrymaceae. The record is from RefSeq and is a predicted model, not a curated record.